UUAACGAAUUAAAUCUUAGUAUUCAGACUACAGUUACAGAAAAGUUUUGGUUUGGAGCCUCAGGCGGACUGACGAGGGCGACCGGUUAUGGCCAUCCAGCGCCGCCGAAGCAACGGGUAGUUUCACAAUGGUUUGGAAGGUGGGACGCCUUUCGGCAUCGAACUUUCUAAUGAUCCUUCCGCAGGUUCACCUACGGAAA
This 199-nucleotide unclassified non-coding RNA is filed under the name uncultured fungus. Its description in RNAcentral is "sequence contains ITS1". The record is from RNAcentral. Lineage: Eukaryota; Fungi.